UACGUAGGGGGCUAGCGUUGUCCGGAAUCAUUGGGCGUAAAGCGCGCGUAGGCGGCCCGGUAAGUCCGCUGUGAAAGUCAAAGGCUCAACCUUUGAAUGUCAGCGGAUACUGCCGGGCUAGAGUCCGGAAGAGGCGAGUGGAACUCCUGGUGUAGCGGUGGAAUGCGCAGAAAUCAGGAAGAACACCAACGGCGAAGGCAGCUCGCUGGGACGGAACUGACGCUGAGGCGCGAAAGCGUGGGGAGCGAACAGG
RNAcentral lists this ribosomal RNA (253 nucleotides) under uncultured bacterium. RNAcentral's name for it is "partial 16S ribosomal RNA". It matches the Rfam family "Bacterial small subunit ribosomal RNA", at positions 524 to 776 of the family's 1533-position model. The record is from RNAcentral.